Molecule: ribosomal RNA, 300 nt
Rfam family: Bacterial small subunit ribosomal RNA (bases 53-300)
CACAAUGCAGUGCGAUAUGUCGCGUGAAGAGGAAGGUUGCAAGCUUUAAUCCGAAUUUCUGGGCGUAAACCGUGGGCAGGCGGCUAAUUAAGUCAGAUGUGAAAUCCCUAGGCUCAACCGAGGAACUGCAUUUGAAACUAAUAAACUAGAGUAUCGUAGAGGGAGGUAGAAUUCCAGGUGGAGCGGUGAAAUGCGUAGAGAUCUGGAGGAAUACCAGUGGCGAAGGCGACCUCCUGGACGAAAACUGACGCUCAAGCACGAAAGCAUGGGGAGCAAACAGGAUUAGAUACCCGGGUAGUC